This is a non-coding RNA of Sus scrofa (pig), 7037 nucleotides long. Lineage: Eukaryota; Metazoa; Chordata; Mammalia; Artiodactyla; Suidae. The record is from RefSeq and is a predicted model, not a curated record.
ACAUGGCUUCAAUCCGCCAGCUGUAGCUUCAAUUAGACCCCUAGCCUUGGAACUUCGAUAUGCCACCAAUGUGGCCCUAAAAAGCAAAAUAAAUAAAUAAAAUUAACACUCGCUAUCAAUUACAAAUGAGAUGGACAAUCUAGAGGAUGGUUCUUAUGCAUGAAACCAGUGGGAGACAUGCCAGCCAAUUCCCAGGCCUUGGUUCUCUUAGCUGUGUAAGAGCCCAGAGCAGGAACAAUUACUUUGAUGACCUCGUGGAGUACAGACUGAAGGGAAUGUCUGAAAUAAGCACUGAGGGUUGACACGAAGAGGAAAGGGACAAAGGUAAACACUGUGUUUAAGUGGACAGGAAGGUAAAGGCAGGGAAAAUUCAAGCCCCUGUUCCAGGUUCGAGGAAGUGGCCGUUAAUCAGUGACUACAUUUCCCAUAGUCCUUAGGCGAGCAUAUCUUCAUUUCCCAGAGGGCUGUGCGAUGCUUGAGCGGGCCCUAAGCGCCCGCAGAAACUAGACAGAAGAGAAUAUUCGCUUUAUGUUGCUUUAUAGCCAAAUUUCCCACGCUCCUCUCUUCUAUCCCUCUUCUCUGUCUACAGCUCCUCUCUUCACCGGCUUCAGGGGCCCGGAUAGCCUGGGUCUGGUCUCCUUGGCAACAACUCGACGUUACCCUUUUGGGUCUUCACGAAAGGAAGCGGAGUGUGCACGGGGAUUCCUGGGAAAUGUAGUUCGGCCUCCCUGGGGCCGGACCCCGGCCCGGCCUAAUAGGUCGGCUUCCUUGGGCCCCAGAAGCAAGGACUGGGUGGCGGGAGCGCGUGGCCAGCCCGUUUGGAAGCCGUGGGGGUGGAGGCUGUUCUGACUACGAGCACCCGAAGGCCCAGGCCAGUUGGCAGUCGCUAAGCCGACGAGCCCGGCCCGUCUCCGUAGUAACUGGCUGGCCGCAGAGGGCUCUGGGAAGUGUAGUUGGACCGCGCCGCCGGUGUCCGAGGUCCGCGCCGCUGCCGUUACCGCUCGCCGCGGCGCUCAGAGCGGUUUUGCAGCGUGCGGCCGAGCUCCUCCAGCGUUGCCUCGGCCUCGGAGCACCCAGGCAGAACAUUUCUGAAAUAUAAAGAUGUUCAUGAGGAGUUUCUCUGAAAUUAGCCCUCCGGCUGCACAAGCGAGCCGCCCCGGGGACUUCUCCAGGCAAGAAUGACAACAGGGCUGUGUCCUCAACCCCUCGAUUCAGUACCUUAGACCAGCAUCAGGGAACCUCCCACAGGGGAGGCCAAUCAGCUGCCCUGCCCCAAAGAAGAGUUUUUAGCAGGAGAGAGAAGAAAGAAGCCACAAAGUGACAAGAGUGACCAGAACUGCGGGCCAGACAGAUUUCAGACUCUGAGGAAGAACCACAUCUUGUCCUUUGUGCUCUUCGCGGCACCUCUGAACAUCGAGGGACAUGGGACGGCUUGGGAACUGGUGACUGUAUGUGGCCGUGGACACCACGCUGAGCGCAGACUGUGGUUCAAGGCGGUGGCGGGUGGCGAUGCGUUACCUGUGAGGUCGCAGCCUGCCUUCCCUGGGCUGGCCGUCAGCCCUUCUCUCCCAAGUCACGCGGGAGGAAGGUGAUUUCGUCCCGACUGCCACCCUGCCCCCCCUACGCCCCCACCCCCACUGGCAGCCAGAUUAGCCCGGAUGUCCGUAAGGUGGCAGAUGCUUAGUCCCGUUGCCUGGGUUCUACCUGAGAGGUACUGCUGGCCGCCAUGCGCUGCACUAACCCUGCAAGUGCCCUUGAACCCUCUGGUCCUUCCUGACCUUCUUAUGCCUUAAGAAGGGGGAGGCAGGGAACAAGCAAGGCGUCAGGAUGUUGGAGAGGCAGCCGGUGUCCUGGUUAAGGAGGGCCGGCUUGGGGGCACCCUCAGCAGGAACCUGGAACUCUUUGAGAGCAAGGUCUAUGUCUGAAACAUCUCUAUUUUCAAGUGCCUCGCUCCAUGCCUGGCACGUAGUAGGUAUUUGCCUGGCACAGAGUAGGUGAGCAGCGCUUCUGUAGUGAGCAGCAACCCAGGAGUGCGAGGAAGUGACUGGGAGAACUGAUGUUAACAACUGGGCUGAAAGGUUCCCCCCCGGGCCGCCCCCCAGGGGUACACCAUCCUCUUGGUGUAUGUCGGAAUUCUGAGUCAAGCACAAAAUGCAGACACCCCUUGUCUUUUGUUAGCUGCAGACUCUCUCUCUCCCCUGCAAAAAAGGGGACUACUUCUGUCUGUCCAUCCAGGGACUUUUAUGGCCUCGGCGCUCUGAUCUAAAUUUCUUUAAAAGCCAGUGAGUUAGAAAUGUUCAUGGUGGGAUCCUAAGAGCUGGUCCUGGGUUGGGCACUGCCCAGAAGAACUGCAUGUCCUCAGCAUCCAAGGCUGUCUCUGAUCAGCUGUACUUAAGCCUGGUGAAGAUGUGAGCAGAUCGUCGCGCGUUGAGGAGAGAAAGAAAGGGAGGGCCCGGACCAGCCGCCUCGCUGUCUGCUUACCAAAGGCUCACCGCUCCCGAGGUCGUCCCUGGGCAGGAGGCCAGCUGGUCACUGGGUUUGGGGGCUCCUGUCUUGGAAGCUUCUAGCUGGCACGUCCUGGGUCUCUAGCGGACCCUCUCAGAUACUCUUCCCACGACAACCCCGAGACCAAACGAGUCAGACAUGAUUAAAGAGGCAGAGGAGGCUGAGAUGGCUAAUCCAGGGAAGGCUCCUGGGAGAGCAAGGACUGGACGGCUGGGGGCCUCUCAGCGCGGCACUGCUGGGGAGCUGGCACCGGCGGUUCCAGACAAACUGUCCCAAAGGCUUCUGGGAAGUGGCUCCAGCAACUAGAAGGAAAGCUGUAAAGCACUUUAUGGUGUGCGAAGUGACCCCCCCACCCCCACUCCCCACCCUGGAGGACCCCGAGAGAAGCACCACGAGGCUCUUCUGACGGGCGCUGGCGAGCUGGCCAUCCUUGCAGGGGCUCGGCCCCACUCCCGGGGGCGUGAGACUGAGGACGACGGCACUGACCACCGAGCGUUCCGUGCUUCACACGCAGCAUCUCAUUUAAUCCCCCCAUCGAGCCUUGAAACGGGCCGUUUCUAUCCUCACAUUACAAAUGAAGAAACUAAGACAUGGAGAGGCCAAAUAACUUGCCCAAGGUCAUGCAACUAAGAAGUAGGGGAAUAGGAUUCAAAGCCAGGUCUGCCCAACAGCUGGGCUUUUGAAAGUGCUCGUUCUCCCACUGCGGGAUUUUUUGCAUUCCCUGUGCUGGGAUAACCAGCCCAUCUCCUGUCCCCCGUUACAUGGUUUUCUUGAAACAGUUCUGCUUCUCCAGUCUCUCCUGUGGCCCAUUAAAGCCACAAACUGGUUUCUAGGAGAACACGUCGAGUCGGUGCUGAGUGCUUCCCACCCCAUUAAAGCCGUGUUCACGACAAAUGCCCAGCUUCCUACUAGCAGUCACUGGACUUUCUGCUUCGGGAACCUGGGGAGAUCUGUGCUUAGGCUCUCAGUUCUGAAGAUAGGGUAAUAACAGGUGGAGCAAAGCAAGGACAUCUUAUUUCUGUUCCACCCUGACUGGACCUCAAACAGAGUUACCUGAAGAGCUGGAUUUGGCUGGGCUGGUUCAACUGUCGCCUUAGCUCAAGGGUUCUGUCUGCCAGCCAGACUCCCCUCCCGUCCUCCAUGGGGCAUCCACUGAAAGGGGGAUGAAGUAUCCAAACUGGCUUUUUCACUCCUGGGUCUGGCGCCCCGGCGCUCUCCUAGGCGGCGUCUCGGUGGAGCGGCCUCAUCUUACAGUGUUGCCCUGGGCUCCCAGAACCCACUGUCCGUUCCCUUCUCCACUCCUUUCUGCCCCCCACCCCGCAGCCGCUUCUGUGGGGAAGGGUCUCAUUCAGCCCCCGCUGCCAGGUGGCUGUGCUGUAUCUCGUGACCCUGCUCUGCCCCCCCUACACACACACAUACAGGUCACUGGACCAGGAUCUAUAUAGGCUGGCCAACAACUUUUGAAGUCCCCUGGCUCAGAAAUAUAAAGAAAGCCAGUGAGACCAGUCAGAUUCCCCUUUUAGGAAACAUGAACCCCCACAUCAGACCAUACGGGCAGUGUGUGACAAGAGGUGGCGAGAACAGGAAGGAGCCUGGAGGGACUGAUGUGUUGGCCAGAAUUACAGCGAGGAAGAAAGCUGGAGAUUAAAAAAAAAGCAAAACAAGCUGUGACACAGAAAAAAUGCACUUCUAGCGUCUUUUGGUGAAAAGAUAAAGGAAGGAAUGACCAGAAGGGAGCUGGGACUCUGAAAGGCAGAGAGACAGGCUGGCCCUGGAGCCACCCUGGGGCCCACUAGACCUGCUCUGCCCCAGUGGGUGUCACUGCAGUGAGCUCAUUACUUACUCCCUUUGCUGACUGUUGGCUUAGACGUGAGUGGGCACGUGACUUAGUUCUGCCAACAAAACUUACAGAGAAAUGGCCGGGGAACAUUCUGGGAAGAAGUUUGCUUUCUGAUCAAAAGAGGCAGAGAGACUGAAGAGGCCCAUCCCUUCGUCCUGCUUUGAACAUGGAUGUUUGAGAUGUGAUAGCUGGAGCUGGAGCAGCCAUCUUGAGACCAUGAGGCAAAAAGACCAAGCAAAAAAGCCAAUACACCAAGAUGGGCCAAGCAACAGAUUAAAAAAAGCCUGGGUCCUUGAUGAUAGCGUUGAGCCAUUAUACCUAUCCUGGAAUCACGUACUUCCAGUCUUAAUGAUCUAUCAAUUAAAUGUCUUUUAUUUUCUAAGCAGAUUUCUGCUAUUCGCAGCCUGAGGCCUUCUUCACCAGUGCAGCGCUCCUCUGAACUUCUCCGUCAGCAAUUCCCUAGAGCCCCACGGCUCUUGGUGUAGCUCCACAUGGAAAAUCAGCCCAAGUUUAUACACUGGAAAUCUGACUCAUACAGUAAGAAGUAAAAGUCAAGAUUUGUCACAGCCCACAGAGGCGAGCAACUCUAGCACUUAGUUCCAGUUCCUGGGGCCUAAAGGGCACCAAUGAAAGAAAGAUUCGGGAAUGUUCUAGACAUAUGAGCCCGAGUCUUCUAAAAUGGGGCACAAUAAUGAAUUUUAGAACAAAGCAGUGCGAUGGGGUGGGAGGUAUUUAUCCCUGGGAGGCGGAGCCUAAGCUCAGGCCAGAAGGCCAUGGAACGCAUGGGGUGGGGGAAGCAUUAAGUUGGAAUGAGCAAAGGGUGGGUGGGGUGGAUGAACCCUGGAGAAGGCCAGUGUCACAGAGCAGGAUGUUAGGGAGCCCCAGGUGCCAGCUGGAAGAAAUGUAGGGCAGUGAAACUACGUGGGUGGAAACCUAGGCCUUUCCGUUGCUCUCCAGCCAGCCUUGGGGACAUUUGAUAUCCUCUGAGGAGGGAGACGCCCUCAACGGCAGCUACUCCCCAUGUUCCUCACUCUGUCCAGUCUCCACCUGCCCCUUUUUGCUCUACCUUUGCUUUCUGUCUCCUCUGACCAAAGCCGGGAGCCAGAAACACCCAGGACCUGAGUCCCUUCUCCCUCAACUGGAAAGGAGAUGUCGUGGCAAACAAGGGUGUCUUUUAGGAGACUCCGAAUCCUAGGCCGGGGAGAAGGCCUUCAGCUGUGGGCAGAGAAUGCUGGCGGUUGACAAGGACCAGAUUAUGCCUUCUUCGGAUCCACCCUGUAUCAAGCAGUGUGUGGUUCAUGUUGUUUGAACACCAGAAAAUGUGCCUGACCCUUCCCUUAUGAAAUGAGAGGCUGAACUCAGAACUCUAGCCCUUCCUCUCUAAAUUUCUAGUUUUAGAAGACAAAGAGAACCUGGCAUCGUCCUAAUGUACCCUUCAGAUGACAUAUUAUUCCACUACAUACAGAACUUGAGAAAAAUCAAAAGCCCGUUUCCCAUCUCGAAAGAGUCUUCAGCAGUAAAGACGCAUGGCCCGCAGGAGUUCACCCAGUAAAUGGGGCCCCCCCGAACAGAGAUGUGUUGCAAUCACAGCAGAAUUUGCACCCUCCAGCUGCUGGGGGUAAGCCACACACCGUCCUUAUGGAGUCCUGCCCCCGGGCCCAAACGAGGCUCUGUUAUUAUUACUUCAUUCAUUCAGCAGACAUGGACUGAAUACCCCUGGAAGAAGAAUUUAAGCUUAUAAAAGCAAGGUUAAUAUAAGGAAGCUAAAACAUUAGAGAUUUAAAAAAAAAAAAAUCCUCUGAGAUGAUCGGAGAAAAGAAUGAAAGCUUUGGUUGCAGUGGAAGAAGCAAAAUGUUGAAACCCCUACUUAAUGCAAUUAAUGCUUCAGUGUGAUACUUAAUCAACCCCUGAACUCUCCCCACCCCCUAAAGUUUCCCCAUAUGUCACUAAGGAUGCUCUGAAACCCAACAGGGAAGAGAACUGAAGGCUUUUCCUCCUUCUCCCUAAUGAAGGUUUUUCUCCAGAAUGAAUGAGCCUGAUUACUGACUAAAGGCCCUCCUGCGGUCUUUACGCCCAGGGUGCUGCUUUCCUGAGAGUUCUCCAAAGACGAGAGAAGGGGCUCCGCUCUCCCCAGAUGGCGCCACGCGGCUCUGACGCACUGGCUUCUCUCUCGCACGAAUGAUCUGACGUUCAGUGUGCUUCACGCUGCCCCCGACAGCUUUCCACAUUCAUCACAGGUGCCCGCUUCGAGUCCCAAGGAACGUGCUGACAGUCUAAGGCUGGAACUCUGGCUCCAGGCUCUUCCCCACCCAUUCUGCUCGCGGGGCUCCUGGCCGCUCUGAAAUCCCAGAUGUCUAAUUAGCUCUGAGCACAGUCUAAAAGCAUUCGCACAUCCGUUCUGUGCAUAUGGUUUUUCUCCAGUGUGAAUUCUCUGACGUUGAAUGAGCUUUCCUUUCCCGCAGGCGCCCACAUUGACGGCAUUUGUAGCACUUCUGAAUGUGAAUUAGCCGAUGCCAUGUGAGGCGUCAGAAAGCUGACGGAUGCCUCCCUCAAACAAGGACUCUUUCCAAAAUGAAUGUUAGAAUGUUCUGGAGGACGGGAGCCCUGAGAAAAGUCGCCUCCAUUCAUAACAAAGAUGUUCCCUCUAAGAUGCAUAUUGUAAUGUUGAAUAAAUUCUGAAUUCUAAGAUUUG